GAGCGAACGCGUGGCGGCAGGCUUAACACAUGCAAGUCGAGCGGGCGUAGCAAUACGUCAGCGGCAGACGGGUGAGUAACGCGUGGGAACAUACCUUUUGGUUCGGAACAACACAGGGAAACUUGUGCUAAUACCGGAUAAGCCCUUACGGGGAAAGAUUUAUCGCCGAAAGAUUGGCCCGCGUCUGAUUAGCUAGUUGGUGAGGUAAUGGCUCACCAAGGCGACGAUCAGUAGCUGGUCUGAGAGGAUGAUCAGCCACAUUGGGACUGAGACACGGCCCAAACUCCUACGGGAGGCAGCAGGUGGGAAUAUUGGACAAUGGGCGCAAGCCUGAUCCAGCCAU
This 343-nucleotide ribosomal RNA is filed under the name uncultured bacterium. RNAcentral describes it as "bacterial SSU rRNA". It matches the Rfam family "Bacterial small subunit ribosomal RNA", at positions 27 to 395 of the family's 1533-position model. The record is from RNAcentral.